RNAcentral lists this unclassified non-coding RNA (289 nucleotides) under Chaetomiaceae sp. RNAcentral describes it as "partial contains 5.8S ribosomal RNA, internal transcribed spacer 2, and large subunit ribosomal RNA". The stretch from base 1 to 71 matches the Rfam family "5.8S ribosomal RNA", at positions 84 to 154 of the family's 154-position model. Lineage: Eukaryota; Fungi; Ascomycota; Sordariomycetes; Sordariales; Chaetomiaceae. The record is from RNAcentral.
GUGAGUCAUCGAAUCUUUGAACGCACAUUGCGCCCGCCAGUAUUCUGGCGGGCAUGCCUGUUCGAGCGUCAUUUCAACCAUCAAGCCCCGGGCUUGUGUUGGGGACCUGCGGCUGCCGCAGGCCCUGAAAACCAGUGGCGGGCUCGCUAGUCACUCCGAGCGUAGUAGUUUACACCUCGCUCAGGGCGUGCUGCGGGUUCCGGCCGUUAAAAAGCCUUAUUUACCCCAAGGUUGACCUCGGAUCAGGUAGGAAGACCCGCUGAACUUAAGCAUAUCAAUAAGCGGAGGA